Molecule: long non-coding RNA, 1449 nt
Organism: Megalobrama amblycephala (Wuchang bream)
Lineage: Eukaryota; Metazoa; Chordata; Actinopteri; Cypriniformes; Xenocyprididae
Exons: 3
Source: RefSeq, a predicted model, not a curated record
AAGAUGAAUUUGGAGCGACAAACGUUGCUAAAACUACUGUUUCUGUGGAAAGGGGAGAACAACAGCCAGGAAAUGAGGGGAAACAGAAUGCAAAUAUUCCACUCAGACGCUCUAGUAGGCAGAGAGAGGAACCUGAGAGACUUACCUACUUUCAGCUUGGAAACCCCCUGUCUUAUGUUGUUCAAUCUUUGUUCCAGGGGUUAAGUACUGCCCUUGUUAGCUCCCUCAAUAGUGUUGAAAAAUACAGGCCCCCUUUCCAAUUUACCUGAUGCUUCACCAAAUGUAGUGACUAAUCAGCCACUCAGAGCAUGCAAAGGGACUUGCAUGAUUUCAGGGGGGGAAAGUGUAACCCUUGUUAAAUAAUUGUUUAUGAUUAGUAUUAUUUAUUAUAAGAUUACUUAAAUAGAAUAUGAUUAUUCAUAUGGCAGAAAUUCUUUAUAAAUGUACAAAUAUAUGUAAAUAUUUAUAUCUGAAUUAAGUUAAGGAAUGAGCAAUGGCCAAUCGGAGCGUUGCAUUGUCAGCUCCGCCCCUUUUCCUACAGAUCGCGUUGCACAGUUCAGAUGAGAGACGGGGAGCAACGGAGAAAUUUGAUCAGACGUGUGUGUGUUAAAUGGUGAAAAAUACGAUUCCUAAUAUGUUUAAGGUUCACAUAAACUGGACAAAUUAGAGCUCAACCUCAAGAUAUUAGACGAUCCAGCAUGAUUGUUGAUUUUGACUCGUGGAUUAUAUCAGACCGCAUGGUGUAUUGAGUGUUCACUGCCGUUCGCUGACGCCAUUUUGUGCGUGCCUGUGAAAGAGAAAAGAGAGAAAGACGUGAAUGGACAGGCCAGGUUUUUUUUUUCUGUGUGAACAAUUUCCAAGUUGGAUUUCCCUAAUCGAUGGCGAGCCUCCCACUUCGACCCUGAAAGGAUCAUGAACCAAGAGGAAAGGACAAUUUUUCCAUUCCGUUGUUUUUCUUCAGACACGUAAGAGAGAACACAUUCCCAGAGACUGGUUCUUUGUAUUUUUAUUUUUUUUUAUGGGACUGAAACAUUUCAGUAGCACAAUUGAGAAACUUUAAAACUGAUUAAUCUUCCAAUUGAUAAAAACUUUGAAACUGGACACUGAUUUCAGUGUGGGUUAUAUGUGAUAUCACUGAGAUUUGGUUUAAUUUGUAUACGCAUUUGAUUGUGAUUGUGAUUACUGUAAAUUAAAAGUAAUUUAGAGGGUGCACCCAGGGUAUAUAUAUAGUUUAUUGUAUAUUUUCUCUUUUUGUUUGUUGUUCUGUGAAUUGAAGGAAAAAAAAGGAAAUACUGAAAGGAAAAGAAAUAACUGAAUAUUCAAAGUAAAGUUAUUUUUGAUUCAACUUACCUUUUGUCUCUGUGUUUUGCUCAGUAUCACCGCCGCCUCCCUUUACGUACCAUGCAGUCUUCUGAUUGUAUUUCUCUGGUCCAUUAGUGAGUGAGUAAA